UUUUUUUUAACGCUUCAAUUCUGACAGACAUUUGAAUAUAGAGGAGAAGCGGAGCUUACCUAAUGAGCUCCCUCUGUAAAGCACCACCUUGCUUGGUUCUUCUAUGGGAAGUAGCCCCAAAUCCAGUGGUGACACCAUAGCUAUCAGUUCCCUCGUUCAUACUAUCCAUGACCCAGUCACUGCUUGCCUUAACACCAGCUCUAGCAGAUUCUGCAAGCUCCACCUUCACAUCAGAUUCACGACUGCUGGCAAUAGCUGCCACCUGAGCUACGGUCAAGGUUUCGCCGCCUAACUUGACCAAAGGCUUCCUAAACUCAGCCACCAUUCUUUUAACUUCAUCUAAAUGGCUGCCAUUCAUUGACUCAGCAGCCAGACCCCA
RNAcentral lists this unclassified non-coding RNA (379 nucleotides) under Hevea brasiliensis (rubber tree). Lineage: Eukaryota; Viridiplantae; Streptophyta; Magnoliopsida; Malpighiales; Euphorbiaceae. The record is from RNAcentral.